This 253-nucleotide ribosomal RNA is filed under the name uncultured bacterium. RNAcentral describes it as "partial 16S ribosomal RNA". It matches the Rfam family "Bacterial small subunit ribosomal RNA", at positions 524 to 776 of the family's 1533-position model. The record is from RNAcentral.
UACGUAGGUGACCAGCGUUGUCCGGAUUUACUGGGCGUAAAGAGCGCGCAGGCGGUCGUUCAAGUCGAGUGUGAAAGCCCCCGGCUCAACUGGGGAGGGUCACUCGAUACUGAUCGACUUGAAGGCAGGAGAGGGAAGCGGAAUUCCCGGUGUAGUGGUGAAAUGCGUAGAUAUCGGGAGGAACACCGGUGGCGAAGGCGGCUACCUGGACAGAAACUGACGCUGAGGCACGAAAGCUAGGGGAGCAAACAGG